UACGGAGGAUCCAAGCGUUGUCCGGAUUUAUUGGGUUUAAAGGGUGCGUAAGCGGAUCUUUAAGUCAGUGGUGAAAGCCUGCAGCUCAACUGAAGAAUUGCCAUUGAAACUGAAGAUCUUGAAUUAGGUUAAAGUAGGCGGAAUGUAUCAUGUAGCGGUGAAAUGCUUAGAUAUGAUACAGAACACCGAUAGCGAAGGCAGCUUGCUGAACCUAUAUUGACGCUGAGGCACGAAAGCGUGGGGAGCGAACAGG
RNAcentral lists this ribosomal RNA (253 nucleotides) under uncultured bacterium. RNAcentral describes it as "partial 16S ribosomal RNA". It matches the Rfam family "Bacterial small subunit ribosomal RNA", at positions 524 to 776 of the family's 1533-position model. The record is from RNAcentral.